UACGAAAGGUGCGAGCGUUAAUGGGAAUUACUGGGCAUAAAGCGUGCGGAGGCGGCUAUUUAAGUCGGAUGUGAAAGCCCCGGGCUCAACCUGGGAGGUGCAUCCGAUACUGGGUAGCUAGAGUGUGUCAGAGGAUGGUGGAAUUCCCGGUGUAGCGGUGAAAUGCGUAGAGAUCGGGAGGAACAUCAGUGGCGAAGGCGGCCAUCUGGGACAACACUGACGCUGAAGCACGAAAGCGUGGGGAGCAAACAGG
Molecule: ribosomal RNA, 253 nt
Filed under: uncultured bacterium
Lineage: Bacteria
Description: partial 16S ribosomal RNA
Rfam family: Bacterial small subunit ribosomal RNA
Source: RNAcentral